GGGGAUUUAGCUCAGUGGUAGAGUGCUUGCCUAGCGAGCGCAAGGCCCUGGGUUCAGUCCCCA
Non-coding RNA from Rattus norvegicus (Norway rat), 63 nucleotides. NCBI's taxonomy places the organism in Eukaryota, Metazoa, Chordata, Mammalia, Rodentia, Muridae. The record is from Rfam.